GAGGGGAGGACGGGGAGGGAGGAGGAGAGAGAGAGACGGGGAGAGAGAGAGACGGGGAGAGGGGGAGAGGAGAGGGAGACGGGGAGAGAGAGUGCAACACACAGAGAGAGAGGGAGGGGAGAGAGGCAGAAAGCUCUGGAUUGUGUUCACAAUUGACGCAGUCAGCUGUCAGCGCUGGCUCGAGGUGGCGUGCUCCUACACACAGUCAACUCCACGGCGGCCGCCGGGUCAGUCACGUGACCUCCUCCCGAGCCUCCGACGCUUCACGCGGCCGGCCUCAAAGCGCACCUCCCCUGGCACAGGCGCCACGGUGACGUCACCGCCACUCAUUGACGCCGGCCCUGCUGCGUGGACACCGCGCCACGCGCUGCACCUGUGCACGGAUCAAGGCCAUCGCACGGAUCAAGGCCAUCGCAAGCGAGGGUCUUCACCGUGCUGUUGGAGCUGCAACCAAAGCAAGAUGCGUACGCGCACCGAGGUUUAAUAAACGAGCGCGCGCACACACGCAGCACGGCCGAGCUUGAACGUUCCUUGUUCAUGAGCCCGCUCAGCCUGAACGUUCCUUGUUCACGAGCCCGCUCAGUCUGAACCUUCCUCGUUCAUGAGCCUGCUCAGUCUGAACGAUCCACAGUCCUGUAAGGGACCGCACGGAGGCCAUGCGCAGUGGGGCAUCUAAACCUAAGCCACGUUUGGAGGCUGAAACUAUUCCGCUCGCCCAAAACCAACGUGAACUUUGCCUCUCUUUAACACGCAGUCGUAUGCUUCUGCGACCAUAACAAGGCGUGUUCUUGUUGGGGUGAGUAUCGCGCAAAUAUAAACCUCUCGCGUCUCAUCACUCGAUCGGUUUCGCAGCUCGAUCUGGUGGCGCUUGUCAUCCGGUCGUGAGAAGGCCGCCCCUACUUUCCGUUUGCCAUCGGGGGCAACCGUGACAGCCACAUCAGGUAGCAGCUCA
Lethenteron reissneri (Far Eastern brook lamprey) is the source of this 952-nucleotide long non-coding RNA. RefSeq lists it as uncharacterized. Lineage: Eukaryota; Metazoa; Chordata; Hyperoartia; Petromyzontiformes; Petromyzontidae. The record is from RefSeq and is a predicted model, not a curated record.